UGGGGAAUAUUGCGCAAUGGGGGAAACCCUGACGCAGCGACGCCGCGUGGGUGAUGAAGGCCUUCGGGUCGUAAAGCCCUGUCGUAGGGGAAGAACCGGUGCACAGCUAAUAUCUGUGUGCCCUGACGGUCCCCUACCAUAAAGCACCGGCUAACUCCGUGCCAGCAGCCGCGGUAAUACGGGGGGGGCGAGCGUUGUUCGGAAUUACUGGGCGUAAAGGGCGCGUAGGCGGCCCGAGAAGUUCUGGGUGAAAGCCCCCGGCUCAACCGGGGAAGUGCCGGGAAAACCAUCGGGCUGGAGUGCUGGAGAGGCAAGCGGAAUUUCUGGUGUAGCGGUGAAAUGCGUAGAUAUCAGAAGGAACACCUGCGGCGAAGGCGGCUUGCUGGACAGACACUGACGCUGAGGCGCGAAAGCCAGGGGAGCAA
RNAcentral lists this ribosomal RNA (425 nucleotides) under uncultured bacterium. RNAcentral describes it as "bacterial SSU rRNA". It matches the Rfam family "Bacterial small subunit ribosomal RNA", at positions 355 to 771 of the family's 1533-position model. The record is from RNAcentral.